This 602-nucleotide ribosomal RNA is filed under the name uncultured bacterium. RNAcentral's name for it is "bacterial SSU rRNA". The stretch from base 1 to 538 matches the Rfam family "Bacterial small subunit ribosomal RNA", at positions 338 to 873 of the family's 1533-position model. The record is from RNAcentral.
CCUACGGGAGGCAGCAGUGGAGAAUUUUGGACAAUGGACGCAAGUCUGAUCCAGCCAUGCCGCGUGCGGGAAGAAGGCCUUCGGGUUGUAAACCGCUUUUGUCAGGGAAGAAACGGGUUUCUCUAAUACAGAGACCUAAUGACGGUACCUGAAGAAUAAGCACCGGCUAACUACGUGCCAGCAGCCGCGGUAAUACGUAGGGUGCAAGCGUUAAUCGGAAUUACUGGGCGUAAAGCGUGCGCAGGCGGUUAUGCAAGACAGAGGUGAAAUCCCCGGGCUCAACCUGGGAACUGCCUUUGUGACUGCAUAGCUAGAGUACGGUAGAGGGGGAUGGAAUUCCGCGUGUAGCAGUGAAAUGCGUAGAUAUGCGGAGGAACACCGAUGGCGAAGGCAGUCCCCUGGACCUGUACUGACGCUCAUGCACGAAAGCGUGGGGAGCAAACAGGAUUAGAUACCCUGGUAGUCCACGCCCUAAACGAUGUCAACUGGUUGUUGGGAGGGUUUCUUCUCAGUAACGAAGCUAACGCGUGNGUGCGCGNGGNGCGCGCGAGUGAAGANAANAGAGUGAGNGNGAGAGNGCGAGACGACGACGAGGGAGGAGG